This is an unclassified non-coding RNA of Mesocricetus auratus (golden hamster), 289 nucleotides long. It matches the Rfam family "Metazoan signal recognition particle RNA". Rfam says of the family: The signal recognition particle (SRP) is a universally conserved ribonucleoprotein. It is involved in the co-translational targeting of proteins to membranes. The record is from Ensembl. NCBI's taxonomy places the organism in Eukaryota, Metazoa, Chordata, Mammalia, Rodentia, Cricetidae.
GCCAGGUGCAGUGGUAUAUAUCUGUAGUCCCAGCUACUCGGGAGGCUGAGACAGGAUUGCUUGAGUCCAGGAGUUCUGAGCUGUAGUAUUCUGUGCUGAUUGGAUGCCGGCACUAAGUUUGACAUCAAUAUGGUGACCUCCUAGGAGCAGGGGACCACCAGGUUCCCUAAGGAGGGGUGAACCAGCCCAGGUCAGAAAAGGAACAGGUCAAAACUGCUGUUAAUAAUUAGCAUAUUCACUGUUGCAUUGUGAAGACAGAAAAUGGGACAUUUAGGGAAAGCUGUACUUA